GACGAACGCUGGCGGCAUGCCUGAUACAUGCAAGUCGAGCGAACAGAUGAAGUGCUUGCACUUCUGACGUUAGCGGCGAACGGGUGAGUAACACGUAAGGAAUCUACCUAUAAGCGGGGGAUAACAUUCGGAAACGGGUGCUAAUACCGCAUAAUAUCUUCUUCCGCAUGGAAGGAGAUUGAAAGACGGCUCUGCUGUCACUUAUAGAUGACCUUGCGGUGCAUUAGUUAGUUGGUGGGGUAACGGCCUACCAAGACGAUGAUGCAUAGCCGACCUGAGAGGGUGAUCGGCCACAUUGGGACUGAGACACGGCCCAAACUCCUACGGGAGGCAGCAGUAGGGAAUCUUCCGCAAUGGGCGAAAGCCUGACGGAGCAAUGCCGCGUGAGUGAAGAAGGCCUUCGGGUCGUAAAACUCUGUUAUAAGAGAAGAACAAAUUGUAGAGUAACUGCUACAGUCUUGACGGUAUCUUAUCGGAAAGCCACGGCUAACUACGUGCCAGCCGCCGCGGUAA
Molecule: ribosomal RNA, 513 nt
Filed under: uncultured bacterium
Lineage: Bacteria
Description: partial 16S ribosomal RNA
Rfam family: Bacterial small subunit ribosomal RNA
Source: RNAcentral